AUACGUAGGGGGCGAGCGUUGUCCGGAAUUACUGGGCGUAAAGAGCUCGUAGGUGGUUUGUCGCGUCGUCUGUGAAAUUCCGGGGCUUAACUCCGGGCGUGCAGGCGAUACGGGCAUAACUUGAGUACUGUAGGGGAGACUGGAAUUCCUGGUGUAGCGGUGAAAUGCGCAGAUAUCAGGAGGAACACCGGUGGCGAAGGCGGGUCGCUGGGCAGUAACUGACGCUGAGGAGCGAAAGCAUGGGUAGCGAACAGGAUUAGAUACCCUGGUAGUCCAUGCCGUAAACGGUGGGCGCUAGGUGUAGGGGUCUUCCACGACUUCUGUGCCGUAGCUAACGCAUUAAGCGCCCCGCCUGGGGAGUACGGCCGCAAGGCUAAAACUCAAAUGAAUUGACGGGG
Molecule: ribosomal RNA, 398 nt
Filed under: uncultured bacterium
Lineage: Bacteria
Description: partial 16S ribosomal RNA
Rfam family: Bacterial small subunit ribosomal RNA
Source: RNAcentral